Molecule: long non-coding RNA, 246 nt
Filed under: Mytilus galloprovincialis (Mediterranean mussel)
Lineage: Eukaryota; Metazoa; Mollusca; Bivalvia; Mytilida; Mytilidae
Source: RNAcentral
CUUUACGCAUAUAUGAAAUGAUACUAGCAGAUAUACUAUGUAAUUAUUAUUGACCGUGUUUUUGUUGUUUUGUAUUUUGUUUUGAUCUUUUUAUGAUUUUUCUUCUUUUGAGCCAUUUGAAUCUUUAGUCCAAUAUUGAAGUGUUAAAUAUAUUAAAUAGAGAUGACUCCAUAAGUCUGUUUCACUUGUGUCUAAUUCAAUGUGUGUAUUUGCACAAUAAAAUGUUUUAUAAUAAACGAAAUCAAA